Panthera pardus (leopard) is the source of this 103-nucleotide small nucleolar RNA. NCBI's taxonomy places the organism in Eukaryota, Metazoa, Chordata, Mammalia, Carnivora, Felidae. The record is from Ensembl.
UCCCCCUUCUUCAAAUUAAAAAAAAAAGUGGGGCAAAGGAAAUAUCCUUUUAAAACUCAAGCAUACUGGGUGUUUGCCUUGUAUCCUGUCAGAGGAAACAAAU